CCUACGGGUGGCUGCAGUGGGGAAUAUUGCACAAUGGGGGAAACCCUGAUGCAGCGACGCCGCGUGAGUGAAGAAGUAUCUCGGUACGUAAAGCUCUAUCAGCAGGGAAGAAAAUGACGGUACCUGACUAAGAAGCCCCGGCUAACUACGUGCCAGCAGCCGCGGUAAUACGUAGGGGGCAAGCGUUAUCCGGAUUUACUGGGUGUAAAGGGAGCGUAGACGGCAGCACAAGUCUGGAGUGAAAUCCCGGGGCUUAACCCCGGAACUGCUUUGGAAACUGUGCGGCUGGAGUGCAGGAGGGGUAAGCGGAAUUCCUAGUGUAGCGGUGAAAUGCGUAGAUAUUAGGAGGAACACCGGUGGCGAAGGCGGCUUACUGGACUGUAACUGACGUUGAGGCUCGAAAGCGUGGGGAGCAAACAGGAUUAGAUACCCUAGUAGUCC
This 441-nucleotide ribosomal RNA is filed under the name Escherichia coli. Its description in RNAcentral is "bacterial SSU rRNA". It matches the Rfam family "Bacterial small subunit ribosomal RNA", at positions 338 to 796 of the family's 1533-position model. The record is from RNAcentral. Lineage: Bacteria; Pseudomonadati; Pseudomonadota; Gammaproteobacteria; Enterobacterales; Enterobacteriaceae.